AACUUAGAUGUACUUUUACACACACAUCCGCCCGGGUACUACGAGCACAGCUUAAAACCCAAAGGACUUGGCGGUGUCUCAGACCCACCUAGAGGAGCCUGUUCUAGAACCGAUAACCCCCGUUAAACCUCACCACUUCUUGUUUUCCCCGCCUAUAUACCGCCGUCGUCAGCUUACCCUGUGAAGGCCUAACAGUAAGCAAAAUGGGCCCGCCCAAAAACGUCAGGUCGAGGUGUAGCGCACGAAGUGGGAAGAAAUGGGCUACAUUUUCUACAACAGAAUAUUACGAAUGGCACUCUGAAACAAAUGCCUGAAGGUGGAUUUAGUAGUAAAAAGCAAAUAGAGCGUCCUUUUGAAUUAGGCUCUGAGACGCGCACACACCGCCCGUCACUCUCCCCUCACAUAUUAAACCCAAACCUAACAUUCCUAAUUAGAUAUUUUCUAACGCGGGGAGGCAAGUCGUAACAUGGUAAGUGUACCGGAAGGUGCACUUGGAAUAAUCA
This 503-nucleotide ribosomal RNA is filed under the name Pangasius krempfi. Its description in RNAcentral is "partial 12S ribosomal RNA". It matches the Rfam family "Bacterial small subunit ribosomal RNA", at positions 801 to 1533 of the family's 1533-position model. Lineage: Eukaryota; Metazoa; Chordata; Actinopteri; Siluriformes; Pangasiidae. The record is from RNAcentral.